Molecule: long non-coding RNA, 1247 nt
Filed under: Anas platyrhynchos platyrhynchos (common mallard)
Lineage: Eukaryota; Metazoa; Chordata; Aves; Anseriformes; Anatidae
Description: lncRNA (ENSAPLG00000027781.1)
Source: RNAcentral
ACCCGGCAAGGUGAGGGGAUGGGGAGGGGGUGGGAGAGGGGAUGGGGAUGUGGGGAGGGAGGGAUGGGGACGUGGAGAGGGAGGGCUGGGGACAUGGAGACGGAGACAUGGAGACGUGGAGAGGGCUGGGGCCAUGGAGAUGGAGAGAUGGGGAUGUGGAAACGGAGAGAUGGGGACAUGGAGAGGGCUGGGGACAUGGAGACAGAGGGCUGGGGGCACAGGGCAGUGCGCCCCCGCGGUGCUCUCGACAUCACCCCCAGCCCCCAGCCCUCCGGCACCGUCUCCUUGCCAUCCCCGGCACCCCUCGGGCACCGCGGCCCCUCCGCGCCCCCCUGCAUCCCUCGGGAGCUGUCCCCCCACGGGCACGGCCCCGUGACCCCGCUCCCUGCAUCCCCCCGCAGCACGGUGUCUCCUCCGCACCCCCACAUCCCUGGGGUGUCACUGCCCCCCGUGGUGCCCCCCCUGCAGCCCCCCAGCAUGGGGACCCCUCCUGGGGCAGCAGCGACCCCGCAGGGUGCCCCCUGCCGCCCUCCUCCAUGGCCAUGUGAGGGGCUCCCCCCCCCCUGAGCCCCCCAGACGCCUCCCCGCCACCCCCCUUUCCCCGUGGCCCCCCCACCAUGGCUCCCUGGGGUCCCUCCCCCUGCCCCCCCACAUCCUGCCCCAGCCCCCUCCCACAUCCCUCUCCCUCCCCCUGCGCCCCCCCAGCACCCCCCCAGCACCCCCAUCCCUGCUGCGUCGCCUCCUUGGGGUGCCCUGGAAAGGGGGGGACACACAGUGAGGGGCUGCCUGGGGGGGCAGAGGGGAUUUGGGGGGGGAUUCAUGGGGUCUUCCAUUGCCGGGGAGGAGGCAGAGCUGCCGGCCGCCUCGCUGCCUCCGGAGCUCAUUGUUCACCAACAAAGCCCUUCCCAACCCCCCCCCCCUCAUUGUGCAUCUCUGGGCCACGCACCCUGAUGCAUGGGGCCCAGGGGGGGGCUGCGGUGCCCCCCGAUGGGGCUGUGUCCCCCUGAUAAAUGGGGGGGGGCGUGGGUGCCACCACCCCCCCGGCACUGGCAGCAAUCCAUAAAAUGGCUUCGCCGAAUCUCUCGGCGGCGCGGGGCGGACGUGACCUACAUGGAGCCGGCACAAAGGCGGCCGUGAUGCUGCCACCACCUCUCCCCCAUGUCCCCACGUCCCCAUGUCCCCAUAUCCCCAUCCCCUCAUCCCAUGGGUGAAGCCACCCCGUGCCCCGAUCCAUGCCACCGCUCCCU